GACGAACGCUGGCGGCGUGCUUAACACAUGCAAGUCGAACGGAAAGGCCCUGCUUUUGUGGGGUGCUCGAGUGGCGAACGGGUGAGUAACCCGUGAGUAACCUGCCCUUGACUUUGGGAUAACUUCAGGAAACUGGGGCUAAUACCGGAUAGGAGCUCCUGCUGCAUGGUGGGGGUUGGAAAGUUUCGGCGGUUGGGGAUGGACUCGCGGCUUAUCAGCUUGUUGGUGGGGUAGUGGCUUACCAAGGCUUUGACGGGUAGCCGGCCUGUGAGGGUGACCGGCGACAUUGGGACUGAGAUACGGCCCAGACGCCUACGGGAGGCAGCAGGGGGGAAUAUUGCACAAUGGGCGGAAGCCUGAUGCAGCAACGCCGCGUGCGGGAUGACGGCCUUCGGGUUGUAAACCGCUUUCGCCUGUGACGAAGCGUGAGUGACGGUAAUGGGUAAAGAAGCACCGGCUAACUACGUG
RNAcentral lists this ribosomal RNA (468 nucleotides) under uncultured bacterium. RNAcentral describes it as "partial 16S ribosomal RNA". It matches the Rfam family "Bacterial small subunit ribosomal RNA", at positions 28 to 507 of the family's 1533-position model. The record is from RNAcentral.